GAUGCUGGCGGAUCACGAAUCUCUCUUCUGGCAUCUAUGGAAUAAGUUGGAGGAUUCUGUAGCUGUUUUUCAUUGGAACGAAUGGAUACACAUACAGGAUCGUAUCAGUAUGACGAUUGGUUUGAAAUGGCACAUCUCAAGGGAUAUACUUGGAAGAUACUCAAUCACAAUGGACUUUAUCUCAGAGUUCCUAUGUUAGUCUCCGAGGGAGAUACGGGAUAUGUUGAUGAUCUUGCCGGAUCAAGAGAACUUAUUUCUU
Molecule: non-coding RNA, 259 nt
Organism: Camelina sativa (false flax)
Lineage: Eukaryota; Viridiplantae; Streptophyta; Magnoliopsida; Brassicales; Brassicaceae
Source: RefSeq, a predicted model, not a curated record